Molecule: long non-coding RNA, 381 nt
Filed under: Chloebia gouldiae (Gouldian finch)
Lineage: Eukaryota; Metazoa; Chordata; Aves; Passeriformes; Passeridae
Description: Erythrura gouldiae (Gouldian finch) lncRNA (ENSEGOG00005002400.1)
Source: RNAcentral
CCUGGAUGCCCAACUCCAGCACAGAGAGGAUGGGAAGAAGAACAAAAAAGGGAUGAGCAGUGAUCUCCAGUGGAUUUGUGCACCAAAGAGCACCAUCACCUCAUCCACAUGGGAGCUACUUCCUUUGGGUGGCCUUCUGCUCUUCACCACUACAAUGGAGGAGACCACAGAUGAUCACAGCGAUGUUGGAAUACACCUUGCUGUCUUGGCUGCCAUUCCCUGUGCUUUGGGACAGAGUCACAGAGCUCUGGUAAAUUCUCUGCAGCUCUUUGCUCUCCAGUCUGUCAAGUGUCUCAGUAAUGCAGGGAGAGUUCCUCCAAGAAAGAGGAAGAAGAUCCCAUAUUUGACCCUAAAGAAAGGAUGUGCCAUGGCCACUAUCUA